GACGAACGCUGGCGGCGUGCCUAAUACAUGCAAGUAGAACGCUGAAGGAGGAGCUUGCUUCUCUGGAUGAGUUGCGAACGGGUGAGUAACGCGUAGGUAACCUGCCUGGUAGCGGGGGAUAACUAUUGGAAACGAUAGCUAAUACCGCAUAAGAGUAGAUGUUGCAUGACAUUUGCUUAAAAGGUGCAAUUGUAUCACUACCAGAUGGACCUGCGGUGUAUUAGCUAGUUGGUGGGGUAACGGCUCACCAAGGCGACGAUACAUAGCCGACCAGGGAGGGGGAACGGGCCCGACUGGAAUUGGACACGGCCCAGACCCCUUAGGGGAGGAGGCAGAAGGGAACUUUGGGAAUGGGGGGAAGGCUGGACGAAGAAAGCCGGGGGGGGGAAGAAGGGUGUCGGAUCGUAAAACUCUGUUGUAAGGGAAGGAAGAGAGGGGGAGUGGAAAAUUCACGCUGUGACGGUAUCUUACCAGAAAGGGACGGCUAACUACGUG
RNAcentral lists this ribosomal RNA (495 nucleotides) under uncultured bacterium. RNAcentral's name for it is "partial 16S ribosomal RNA". It matches the Rfam family "Bacterial small subunit ribosomal RNA", at positions 28 to 507 of the family's 1533-position model. The record is from RNAcentral.